AUGGCGACUCACAAAACAACAAAACUACAGGCCCUCCAACCUCGAAAUUUGACAACACAACCCAUCAUCCACGCCUCUAGGUUGAUACAACAAAAAGAAAAGAAAAAUAAAGUCCUAAUUAGAGAGAGAGAGAGGAAUAAUUUUUUUUAUCCAAUUGCUGCCAGUUUAGAGGGCUAAUCUCUGCCCACUUGGUCUCCUAGCAACCAAGGGACAGCCAGGGUUCAGUUAGGGGACAGGCAGAUUUAGGCCUCACUUAGGCCUCUUCCACAGAUUAUCUAUUUUUCACUGGAUUAUAUGGCAGUGUAGACUCAAGGCCCUUCCACACAGCAAUGUAAUCCAUUUAUAAUCUUAUAUUAUCUGCUUUGCACUGGAUUAUCUUGAGUCCACACUACCAUAUAAUCCAUUUCAGUGUGCAUUUUAUACAGCUGUGAAGAAGGGGCCUCAUAUAAUCCAGUUCUAAGCAGAUAAUAUAAGAUUAUCAAUAUACCGUAGAGUCUCACUUAUCCAACAUAAACAGGCCAGCAGGAUAAGUGAAUAUGUUGGAUAAUAAGAAGGGAUUCAGCAAAAGCCGAUUAAACAUCAAAUUAGGUAAUCGUUAUACAAAUUAAGCACCAAAACAUCAUAUUAUACAACAAAUUUGACAGAAAAAGUAGUUCCAUGCGCAGUAUUGCUAUGUAGUGAUUACAGUAGAGUCUCACUUAUCCAACACUUGCUUAUCCAACGUUCUGGAUUAUCCAACACAUUUUUGUAGUCAAUGUUUUCAAUAUAUCAUGAUAUUUUGGUGCUAAAUUCAUAAAUACAGUAAUUACUACAUAGCAUUACUGAGUAUUGAACUACUUUUUCUGCCAAAUUUGUUGUCUAACAUGAUGUUUUGGUGCUUCAUUUGUAAAAUCAUAACCUAAUUUGAUGUUUAAUAGGCUUUUCCUUAAUGCCUCCUUAUUAUCCAACAUAUUCGCUUAUCCAACAUUCUGCCAGCCUGUUUAUGUUGGAUAAGUGAGACUCUACUGUACUGUAUUUACAAAUUUACCACUAAAAUAUCACAAUGAAUUUAAAACACUGACUACAAAAACAUUGAUUAUGAAAAGGCAGACUGCAUUGGAUAAUCCAGAACAUUGUAUAAGCGAAUGUUGGAUAAGUGAGAUUCUACUUUAAUAUGAAAUAAUUACUGGGAUAGAAUAAUGCAGAAGAAUAUAAUCUCUAAAACCAGGACAGUAAAUAAAGAGCAACAGUCUGAAAGCAGAGAAAUUGGAAAUUCCACAAAGGAAACAAUCAGGGCCAGCUAACACCUCCCAAGAAAGGAUUCUCCCAGAAAGGAAGCUGAGAAGGGAGUGAAGCACUGUGUAUUACCAAAGUCAUUAUUAUUACUAUCAUUAUUAUUAUUAUUAUUAUUAUUGUUGUUGUUGUUGUUGUGUUGCGGUCAACCGUGAAAAUGAAUACAAUCUGGCUCCAAGUAUUCAAAAACACUAAAAUCAGAAUAUAUAAAAAUUAAUGUGGUAUAAUAAAACAGAACAAUACAAUCUCUAAAAUCAGAACACUAAAUAAAGAACAACACUCUGAAAACAGUGGAACAAUCAGGGCCAGCUAACACCUCUCAACAAAAAAAUUACUCAGGGAGGAAACAGCCAGGCUUUAAAGCUUCAAGACCAUUACAUCCUAAUCAUUUUUCCUAAUUGCAGCAUUCAUACUUGCCUCCAACAGACAAAAAAAACCCAAUCAGAAAUAUUGUAUUUUCACAACCUUUAGGAAAUAAUAUCCCCUGAUGGCGCAGCGUGUUAAAGCGCUGAGCUGCUGAACUUCUGGACCGAAAGGAUGCAGGUUUGAAUUGGGGGAGCGGAGAGAGCCCCCACUGUUAGCCCCAGCUUCUGCCAACCCAGAAGUUCAAAAACAUGCAAAUGUGAGUGCAUCAAUAGGUACUGCUCUGGCGGGAAGGUAACGCCACUCCUUGCAGUCAUCCCACAUGACCUUGGAGGAGUCUACAGACAACGCCAGCUCUUCGGCUUAGAAAUGGAGAUGAGCACCAACCCCCAAAGUCAGACGUGACUGGACUUAACGUCAGGGGAAAACCUUUACCUUUACCUUAACUAUCACCAGUUCCUCAGUACUUUAUUUCCCAUAC
Anolis carolinensis (green anole) is the source of this 2116-nucleotide long non-coding RNA. The record is from Ensembl. Lineage: Eukaryota; Metazoa; Chordata; Lepidosauria; Squamata; Anolidae.